CCCACCCUGUGUCCCCAGCUUCUGCCACGUGCACAGGACGUCCUGUUACCUGCUGGGGUCACCAAGGUGAUCUCACUGAGUGGGAAGAACCUACCUGUGCCACAGGCUGGCCAAGGUGAUUAUCAGUGUAAGAUAGGCACUAACACAGUCCCAGCUAUCAGACAGAAUGAUAGUGCCAUAGACUGCCAGAGCCACGCUUAUGUGUAUACAGCCAUCACAGGCCAGGAGAGACAUGAAAUCCAAGUAAUCUGGAAUA
This 256-nucleotide long non-coding RNA is filed under the name Lingula anatina. RNAcentral's name for it is "uncharacterized LOC106155551". Lineage: Eukaryota; Metazoa; Brachiopoda; Lingulata; Lingulida; Lingulidae. The record is from RNAcentral.